RNAcentral lists this ribosomal RNA (68 nucleotides) under uncultured bacterium. RNAcentral's name for it is "partial 16S ribosomal RNA". The record is from RNAcentral.
GCCCGAACGUCCGUGUCGGAACCCGCCAAGGGCCGAAGCGGCCGAAGGCGAGCAUCAUGACUGGGGCG